RNAcentral lists this ribosomal RNA (859 nucleotides) under Septoria lycopersici var. lycopersici. Its description in RNAcentral is "LSU rRNA". It matches the Rfam family "Eukaryotic large subunit ribosomal RNA", at positions 73 to 955 of the family's 3401-position model. The record is from RNAcentral. Lineage: Eukaryota; Fungi; Ascomycota; Dothideomycetes; Mycosphaerellales; Mycosphaerellaceae.
GAUUGCCCUAGUAACGGCGAGUGAAGCGGCAACAGCUCAAAUUUGAAAUCUGGCGCAAGCCCGAGUUGUAAUUUGUAGAGGAUGCUUCUGGGUAGCGACCGAUCUAAGUUCCUUGGAACAGGACGUCAUAGAGGGUGAGAAUCCCGUAUGUGACCGGCCCGCACCCUUUACGUAGCUCCUUCGACGAGUCGAGUUGUUUGGGAAUGCAGCUCUAAAUGGGAGGUAAAUUUCUUCUAAAGCUAAAUACCGGCCAGAGACCGAUAGCGCACAAGUAGAGUGAUCGAAAGAUGAAAAGUACUUUGGAAAGAGAGUUAAAAAGCACGUGAAAUUGUUGAAAGGGAAGCGCCUGCAACCAGACUUCGCGGCAGUGUUCCGCCGGUCUUCUGACCGGUUCAUUCUCUGUCGCGAGGCCAUCAUCGUCUGGGCCCGCCGGAUAAGACCUUAGGAAUGUAGCUCACCUUCGGGGGAGUGUUAUAGCCUAGGGUGAUGCGGCGAGGCUCGGGCGAGGUCCGCGCUUCGGCAAGGAUGAUGGCGUAAUGGUUGUCGGCGGCCCGUCUUGAAACACGGACCAAGGAGUCUAACAUCUAUGCGAGUGUUCGGGUGUCAAACCCCUACGCGUAAUGAAAGUGAACGGAGGUGGGAACCGCAAGGUGCACCAUCGACCGAUCCUGAUGUCCUCGGAUGGAUUUGAGUAAGAGCAUAGCUGUUGGGGACCCGAAAGAUGGUGAACUAUGCCUGAAUAGGGUGAAGCCCGGAGGAAACUCUGGUGGGAGGCUCGCAGCGUUUCUGACGUGCAAAUUCGAUCGUCAAAAUUUGGGUAUAGGGGCCAAAAGACUAAUCGAACCAUCCCGUAGCUGGU